AGGAAAUCAGUGUACAUACCUAUUUGCAAGUUUCAACCCUUCAUUCCCAGUGAUAACAUAUAGGAGACAACCGCUGAUCGGGUGGCUCUGAAAGUAUCAAGGGAAUCGAUAAAAAUAACAACUUCUUAACAAAUGAGCUUAUGAGACAAAUAUCAUUACAACAGAUCCCGUUGGAGGCUGUGCAAGAUUGAUAAGGUAAAGAGAUGCAACAACAGAACAACUAAAUGUGAUAAUACAAUAGAGGGAUCAUUGCAUACAACAACAAAGUUCAAUCAUUGACACUAGAAUUAUUAAAGGAUCUGCUGUUGGAAUUUUUAGGUGCAAGCACUUACUCUUGGAUAUCUUUAUGAAAGAAUACCGCAACACCAUAGAUCGAACAGAUACCAAACCAAAUCCAAUAAAUAUUAGACCAACUAGUAGAUGGAGUAUAACUGAUAGGAGCACCAUAAAUGGUAAACGAGAUGGCAGCUGAAGGAAAACAUAUUGGAAACCCCUUGGAUGCAGUAAACCCGUUAGAAAACCAAAAUAAAUUAUAAAAACCAACAUCAUCAAACAUCAUUUGUAAAGUGGUAGAUAUUCGAAAGGAUCAAAUGCAAUUAAUGUGAUAGAAAUUAAUAUUGUUCAGUACGUCGCAAGAAAAAUGUCAUCAAAUAAGUAAAUUAAAGAGAACAAAACUAAAGAGAUAAUUUAUAUAAUAAUCAAAAUGAAUCGUAAACAAUAAGAGAAAAAAGAUGAGAAGGGAGUCGAUCUGUAAAAUUAAGAGAUGAAUUGUAAAAGAAAAAAAUCAGAUUGAAUAGUAAAAAAGGAUCAGAUUCAAUUAGAAGAGGAAAAACGUAAAAGAAAAUUGAAUUUAAGCAGAAUUGGUAAAAUAAGUAAGAGGAAGAACAAGAUAAGAUAGUAGAUCUGAAUUGGCAAAGGACUGGCUACAAAAGGUAGAAGAUGGGGAG
This 947-nucleotide long non-coding RNA is filed under the name Nicotiana tabacum (common tobacco). Its description in RNAcentral is "long non-coding RNA (NTAB_LNC018371)". The record is from RNAcentral. Lineage: Eukaryota; Viridiplantae; Streptophyta; Magnoliopsida; Solanales; Solanaceae.